GCGACGUGCCUAAGGUAUGCAAGUCGAAUGCCGAUUUAUCGGCAUGGCAGACGGCUGAGUAAUACAUGGGAAUCUACCUCAAACUCGAGAAUAGCCCAUCGAAAGGUGGUGUAAUACUCGAUAGUUCCGUUUACGGUAAAGCUCCGGCGGUUUGAGAUGAGCCCAUGUCCUAUCAGGUUGUUGGUAGGGUAAUUGCCUACCAAGCCUAUGACGGGUAGCUGGUUUGAGAGGAUGAUCAGCCAGACUGGGACUGCGAUACGGCCCAGACUCCUACGGGAGGCAGCAACUAGGAAUCAUGCGCAAUGGACGAAAGUCUGACGCUGCGACGUCGCGUGAGGGAUGAAGGUCUUCGGAUCGUAAACCUCUUUUAUCUGGGAACAAGUUCUGAGUGUACCAGAUGAAUAAGUGCCUGCCAACCACGUGCCAGAAGCAUCGGUAAUGCGUGGGGCACGAGCGUUAUCCGGAUUUACUGGGCGUAAAGAGAUGCGUAGGCGCCUUUUUAAGUCACUUGUAAAAUCUCCCCGCUCAACGGGGAAACUGCAAGUGAUACUGAAUUGGUUGAGUCAAGUAGAGGAGAGGGGAAUUCCUGGUGGAGCGGUUAAAUGCGUUGAUAUCAGGAGGAAUACCAAGUGCGAAGGCACCUCUCUGGACUUGUACUGACGCUAAGGCUCGAAAGUGUGGGGAGCAAAACGGAUUAGAUACCCGUGUAGUCCACACUGUAAACGAUCCCUGCUAGAUGUUUGC
RNAcentral lists this ribosomal RNA (744 nucleotides) under uncultured organism. RNAcentral's name for it is "bacterial SSU rRNA". It matches the Rfam family "Bacterial small subunit ribosomal RNA", at positions 39 to 827 of the family's 1533-position model. The record is from RNAcentral.